UCUAUUGAAUUAUAAUACGAUGGUGGGGCUUCAUCAUCCUUUUUUAAUAUGAACAGCUAAGAGAAAGGUUUGUCUCCAAGAAUGGAUAAUGUACUCGCAGCUACACAUCAUAUAACAUGCACAGGUCUUAUAUGAUAGACAUUCUCAUUAGUUCAAACCCAUUAGAAAAGGUUGUUCUUGGUGUAGAAAACCUCUCCAAUUGAUCAUUUAAAGGUUUCCAGCACUAGAACUGCAUAGUCCAGCAGGGUUAAGAGGGGUGCACCUAACUGUAAGAAAGAAAUUAAUUAAAACAAAGACACCACAUAAUUACAACAAAAAUCACAUUAUAUAAUCAUAAUAAUAUGUUAACAAAAAAUUGCUUAAUUUAAUAUACUUCUUAAAUCUACUCCAAUGUCCCAAUAUAUUUGUCCUUCCAAUUUACAAUAAACAUUCUAGUUUAUAAAACAAAAUUCUGGAGAUUUGUUUUUUU
Molecule: long non-coding RNA, 469 nt
Filed under: Amborella trichopoda
Lineage: Eukaryota; Viridiplantae; Streptophyta; Magnoliopsida; Amborellales; Amborellaceae
Description: long non-coding RNA (ATRI_LNC004873)
Source: RNAcentral